CCUGCCCCAGCUCCGUGUUGCAGGCGUGGCUGCAGUGCCAUGGCUGUGUCUUUUGGUGGCAGACAGGAACAGGCGAGGUCUUCCCUGGUGCUCCGAGCCCUGUGAGCUCUCAGGAUUGCUCAACAACCUGACACG
This is a small nucleolar RNA of Lonchura striata (white-rumped munia), 135 nucleotides long. NCBI's taxonomy places the organism in Eukaryota, Metazoa, Chordata, Aves, Passeriformes, Estrildidae. The record is from Ensembl.